GGCGUAGCUCAAUUGGUAGAGCGCCUGAUUUGUAAUCAGGUUGUUGCGGGUUCAAGUCCCAUCGCC
RNAcentral lists this transfer RNA (66 nucleotides) under uncultured Mailhella sp. It matches the Rfam family "tRNA". Rfam says of the family: Transfer RNA (tRNA) molecules are approximately 80 nucleotides in length. Their secondary structure includes four short double-helical elements and three loops (D, anti-codon, and T loops). Lineage: Bacteria; Pseudomonadati; Thermodesulfobacteriota; Desulfovibrionia; Desulfovibrionales; Desulfovibrionaceae. The record is from RNAcentral.